UACGUAGGGUGCAAGCGUUGUCCGGAAUUAUUGGGCGUAAAGAGCUCGUAGGCGGUCAGUCGCGUCUGCUGUGAAAACUCGGGGCUUAACUCCGGGCCUGCAGUGGGUACGGGCUGACUAGAGUGCGGUAGGGGAGACUGGAAUUCCUGGUGUAGCGGUGAAAUGCGCAGAUAUCAGGAGGAACACCAGUGGCGAAGGCGGGUCUCUGGGCCGUAACUGACGCUGAGGAGCGAAAGCGUGGGGAGCGAACAGG
RNAcentral lists this ribosomal RNA (253 nucleotides) under uncultured bacterium. RNAcentral's name for it is "partial 16S ribosomal RNA". It matches the Rfam family "Bacterial small subunit ribosomal RNA", at positions 524 to 776 of the family's 1533-position model. The record is from RNAcentral.